Molecule: ribosomal RNA, 424 nt
Filed under: uncultured Bacteroides sp.
Lineage: Bacteria; Pseudomonadati; Bacteroidota; Bacteroidia; Bacteroidales; Bacteroidaceae
Description: bacterial SSU rRNA
Rfam family: Bacterial small subunit ribosomal RNA
Source: RNAcentral
CCUACGGGGGGCAGCAGUGAGGAAUAUUGGUCAAUGGACGAGAGUCUGAACCAGCCAAGUAGCGUGAAGGAUGAAGGUCCUACGGAUUGUAAACUUCUUUUAUAAGGGAAUAAAACCUCCCACGUGUGGGAGCUUGUAUGUACCUUAUGAAUAAGCAUCGGCUAACUCCGUGCCAGCAGCCGCGGUAAUACGGAGGAUGCGAGCGUUAUCCGGAUUUAUUGGGUUUAAAGGGAGCGUAGGUGGACAGUUAAGUCAGUUGUGAAAGUUUGCGGCUCAACCGUAAAAUUGCAGUUGAUACUGGAUAUCUUGAGUGCAGUUGAGGCAGGCGGAAUUCGUGGUGUAGCGGUGAAAUGCUUAGAUAUCACGAAGAACUCCGAUUGCGAAGGCAGCCUGCUAAGCUGCAACUGACAUUGAGGCUCGAAAG